AACUUUUGGCAACGGAUCUCUUGGCUCUCGCAUCGAUGAAGAACGCAGCGAAAUGCGAUAAGUAAUGUGAAUUGCAGAUUUCAGUGAACCAUCGAAUCUUUGAACGCACCUUGCGCUCUUUGGUAUUCCGAAGAGCAUGCCUGUUUGAGUGUCAUGAAAAUAUCAACCUUGACUUGGGUUUUGUGCUCGAGUCUUGGCUUGGAUGUGGGUGCUUGCCGCUUUAACGAGCGGCUCACCUUAAAUGUAUUAGCUGGAUCUGUCUUUGAGUCUUGGUUUGACUUGGCGUAAUAAGUAUUUCGCUAAGGACAUUCUUCGGCAUGGCCUCGUUUCUGGGACGCUUGUCCGCUUUCCAAUACAAGUUCCAUUCGUGGACAUGACUUUUUAUUAUCUGGCCUCAAAUCAGGUAGGACUACCCGCUGAACUUAAGCAUAUCAAUAAGCGGAGGU
This 446-nucleotide unclassified non-coding RNA is filed under the name uncultured Cryptococcus. Its description in RNAcentral is "sequence contains ITS2". The stretch from base 1 to 154 matches the Rfam family "5.8S ribosomal RNA". The record is from RNAcentral. Lineage: Eukaryota; Fungi; Basidiomycota; Tremellomycetes.